UACCGGACCUAGCGGCGGACGGGUGAGUAAUGCUUAGGAAUCUGCCUAUUAGUGGGGGACAACAUCUCGAAAGGGAUGCUAAUACCGCAUACGUCCUACGGGAGAAAGCAGGGGAUCUUCGGACCUUGCGCUAAUAGAUGAGCCUAAGUCGGAUUAGCUAGUUGGUGGGGUAAAGGCCUACCAAGGCGACGAUCUGUAGCGGGUCUGAGAGGAUGAUCCGCCACACUGGGACUGAGACACGGCCCAGACUCCUACGGGAGGCAGCAGUGGGGAAUAUUGGACAAUGGGGGGAACCCUGAUCCAGCCAUGCCGCGUGUGUGAAGAAGGCCUUAUGGUUGUAAAGCACUUUAAGCGAGGAGGAGGCUACUCUAGUUAAUACCUGGGGAUAGUGGACGUUACUCGCAGAAUAAGCACCGGCUAACUCUGUGCCAGCAGCCGCGGUAAUACAGAGGGUGCGAGCGUUAAUCGGAUUUACUGGGCGUAAAGCGUGCGUAGGCGGCUUAUUAAGUCGGAUGUGAAAUCCCCGAGCUUAACUUGGGAAUUGCAUUCGAUACUGGUGAGCUAGAGUAUGGGAGAGGAUGGUAGAAUUCCAGGUGUAGCGGUGAAAUGCGUAGAGAUCUGGAGGAAUACCGAUGGCGAAGGCAGCCAUCUGGCCUAAUACUGACGCUGAGGUACGAAAGCAUGGGGAGCAAACAGGAUUAGAUACCCUGGUAGUCCAUGCCGUAAACGAUGUCUACUAGCCGUUGGGGCCUUUGAGGCUUUAGUGGCGCAGCUAACGCGAUAAGUAGACCGCCUGGGGAGUACGGUCGCA
RNAcentral lists this ribosomal RNA (811 nucleotides) under Acinetobacter baumannii. RNAcentral describes it as "bacterial SSU rRNA". It matches the Rfam family "Bacterial small subunit ribosomal RNA", at positions 84 to 890 of the family's 1533-position model. The record is from RNAcentral. Lineage: Bacteria; Pseudomonadati; Pseudomonadota; Gammaproteobacteria; Moraxellales; Moraxellaceae.